GUAAAGUGUACUUCAACCUCCUGUUCUUUCUUCUCUGAAUAGAGAGAAAACUGUUAUUCAAGGUAUUGAAGGUGAACUAAUUUUUCAUUGUCACAUGUCAAAUUUUGUUGAUAUUCUUUAGAGAGUGGAAAAUCCCUGUAGGACAACAGUGUAUUCCUAACGAAGAAGUUAGCUUUAUGGGUCUCAUCAUAUUCUUCCUUGAAGAUGUGAGAAGAAAAAUGUAAAGAUUGAAACACAUCACUCUAGUGGUGACUUCCACACGUAUGCUCCUUGACUAUGAACAAGCCUGGGUAAUUGCUUCCUUGGCUCUUGGACACGAGGACUGAUGCGUGCUCAUAUAUACAUCAUGCAUCCUCAUGAAUGUGUCAUGAAGCCCUCUGGCAGCCACAUCUUGCGGCUUGCUCAGUGGAGGAAGGCAGUUGAAUCAGUGAACCUGUUUGCAUCUGUUCCUCUGUCCCCACCCUGCCCCCUGGCUCUCAUCCCAAUGGGGAAGCAUUUUGCAACGUGAACCGGAGAGGUCCAGCUCUGCCCUCUUCCUCUUGUGUGCAACGAGACCGGUGGUUCCUGGAGAGGUUGGGUCCACAUCCAGGCUGAACGACUCUCUGAAGUCUUUGGGCCAUGACUAUUACCUUGGCUCCAGGUAACGUUACCUGCUGUUAGAUGAAAGAUACCUGCAUUUGUGUAUCAUUAUUUGGCUUUGAUAAAUUUGGUGAACUCAUUUGGUACAAACUCUCUGGGGACACAGGAUUUUAAAAAAACACCAAAACUCUGAUUUAUUCAUUUUUUCCCUCCUACUUCUAAAUUUGAGU
RNAcentral lists this long non-coding RNA (809 nucleotides) under Calidris pugnax (ruff). Its description in RNAcentral is "lncRNA (ENSCPUG00000019370.1)". The record is from RNAcentral. Lineage: Eukaryota; Metazoa; Chordata; Aves; Charadriiformes; Scolopacidae.